UGGCAGGUGGGUGUGGGGAAUUGGGAAGAUGGAUGUGGUUCAUUGUCACUAUGCUUUACUCCUCUCCAGCCCAACCCAAGUUAGUGGGGCUGAGUUGGGAGCUGAACCUCUAUACCCACCUGGCUGCAAUGAGACUGAAUGCAGCAGUGCAAAACAGGGCUAGCUUGUAUUAGCCUCCCUUCUCCUCUCCCGCUUCCACAUCCCUCGCCCUUCAUUUUCUGAUCUACAAAGCCUGGUGAGGAGCCAGCCUCUACCACCACUUGGCAUCUGACAAGACAGAGAAUGUUGCUACUAGUGCCCCCAUCCCCACAGAGAGCUGCUGCCAACCCACAUCUCCACAGGAGACCCUCCAACACUAAGAAUUUUCCCAUUCUCACUCCCCAGUGUGAACUGAAAAUGGCAGUUCUUUAUUCAGUACACUGCAAAUGACUGGCACUCUAUUGCAGAUAAACUAUUCUCGGAUAUCCUUGGUUGUCUAUUCCUUGGGCCAAGUGCUGAGGACAUGGGAAUGGAGUGCCAUGAUUGAUUAAGCCUCUGCCACAUGCCCAGGUCUGAGAUGAGAACCAAGCAAGCCAUAUGGUGAACAAUCUUCCGGGAGACACACAGAUGGAGAAAGAGGACAUUUCCUCCCAGGAAGGAGGAGCCAGGCAGACAAGAGCAGCAAAUAUCUGUUGGAACUUCCCAUGUGUCCUCAUAGCAGUUCCCAGAUGUAGGUAGGAUCGAGAUUCCCAUUCACAUCAGUUGACAAGGACACAGUGGCUGACCCAAAGUCAAAUAAAUUGUAAGUGGGCAAGGAAGAACUUGAUCAAAGUCCACUGAAGGGUUUAGAGCUGGUUUGGAAGGGUUUAGAAGGGUUUAGGAAGUGAAGUGAUCUAAGUGACAUUUAAGAAAGAUUAAUAACAUAGAGAUAAACUCUAAGAGUUGCGUUUUAUUUUUGAACAAAAAUUUUUCCAUUCUUUGCUUUUUUCUUUCUGUAUUUUUAAAACCUGUGAAUCAUAUGACUUCUUUGAGGGUAAAAUUUAGAAAAUCAAUGUGAAAAGCUUUUGAUUAUUCAGAAAAAAUAAUAAAGAUCUUAAACACACACACACACAACUCCCUCUCUUGCUAUUCACAGUCACAGACACAAUCCUAUUAUGUUUAUUGAAAGUUUAUUGCAUUCUAGGCACCUCUCGUAUGCCUUACACAUAUUAUCUCAUUUAGCUCUCAUAAAGUAACCUUAUGAUGCAGGCUCUACUGUUGAUUUGCAUUUUACAAAGUCACAGAAAGUUUGUUAAGUAGUUUGUCCAAGUUCAUGUAGACAAUAGAUGUUAAAGCCAAAAUUCAUCUCCAGCCUGAUUGCUAAAUAGAUGUUCUUACCCACCAAACAUACAGCUAAAAAAUGCAUUCAUAUGCAGGAAAAAUAUGUGUAUAUUUUACUAUAUAUGUAUAUUUCACAUGAUUUAUUUGUGAUUGCUAAUGCCAUACAAUCUGUAAUCAAUUUAAAAUGUGUUUAUCCCAGUGGAACACAGAAAAUUCCUUUAUUUAGUAUUUCACUGUUUAUGAGAAUAAAUGGAUACAUACUGGU
Long non-coding RNA from Bubalus bubalis (water buffalo), 1564 nucleotides. RefSeq lists it as uncharacterized. The transcript is spliced from 4 exons. The record is from RefSeq and is a predicted model, not a curated record. Lineage: Eukaryota; Metazoa; Chordata; Mammalia; Artiodactyla; Bovidae.